Molecule: ribosomal RNA, 435 nt
Filed under: Samia ricini (Indian eri silkmoth)
Lineage: Eukaryota; Metazoa; Arthropoda; Insecta; Lepidoptera; Saturniidae
Description: partial 12S ribosomal RNA
Source: RNAcentral
AAACUAGGAUUAGAUACCCUUAUUAUUAAAAAAUUAAAGAUCAUAAUACUAAAAGAGUAAGUAAAAUUUUAUUGAAACUUAAAUAACUUGGCGGUUUUUUAGUUCAUUCAGAGGAAUCUGUUUAUUAAUUGAUAAUCCACGAAUAAAUUUACUUAAUUUAUUAUUUUGUAUAUCGUUGUUUAAAAAAUAUUUUUUAAUAAUUAAUAAUAUUUUAAAUUUUAAAUAAAAAAUUAAAUCAGAUCAAGAUGCAGAUUAUAAUUAAGAAUAUAAUGGAUUACAAUAAAUUUAUUUAUUAUGAAUUUUAAGUAGAAUAAUUUAAUUGAAAGUGGAUUUGAAUGUAAUUUUAUUUAAAUUAAUAAGAUGAUUUAUAAUUAAAAUAUGUACAUAUUGCCCGUCGCUUUCAUAAUAUAAGUUGAAAUAAGUCGUAACAUAGUA